Molecule: long non-coding RNA, 1163 nt
Filed under: Homo sapiens (human)
Lineage: Eukaryota; Metazoa; Chordata; Mammalia; Primates; Hominidae
Description: HSALNT0372404
Source: RNAcentral
AGACUGGCAGGUGGUUAUAGAGGUGUUUGGGGUGUCAGCUCUGAAAUGCUAAAAAUAAAACCAGGCUUUCUAUCCUGGGAUGUCUCAUUAGUUUGCUUACAAAUGAGUCCCCCUGCAGUUUUUCAGCAAUUGGCUAACAAGCUCUAAUUUGAGCGUUUGGGCUGGACCUUGGCUCAGUGGGAGCAGACGCGGAGCAGACGCCUUCUCGGAGCUGCCUGUUUGGGGAAGCUGGUCGUUUCCACUCUAGCUCAGCCUCCCAGAACAGGGAAGCUGCAGGAAAGUUGACAAAAGCACAGCAAAGCAGGGAGAGCCUCCUCGGUAGAGAGCAACGACCAGGUAUUUGGCUAGAAGUUAUCACUGAUACGUUUCCAGAACACAUGGAGGCCAAGGCAGACAAAAGUAAAGAUGGAAACCAGACCAGUAAAUAAGUCCUUUGAUGAACUUCUGAGUCUCUACAGAUGAAGGCAAAGCUCCCUCACAGUUGCAGGCAACGUCUCAUCUUUUGUCACUUCUGGCAUGACACUGCACAGCCACAGCCAGUACGGUAUCUCUGCCUUUGCCCAUGUCCUGCCUUCUUUCUCCCUGGUCGGUAUCUCCUCACCUCAACCAGCUUGGCCAGCUCCUUGGUCAUUGGGGUUGCACCCACCCAGGCAUGUGCCUGGCUCCGCACAACCUCAGAAGCUCUCAGUACAGUGCAGGACCAGAGGUUGAAACCAAUGAAAGGUUGUUAAAUAAAGAGAAAAUGUUUAAUGCUGAGAACAAAGACUAGGAAAGAGAUGUCUAAUAAGAAAUUUUACAGUGAAAUACCAUGUGUUGUGCUCUGUAACUUCGUCUCCAUCUCCCUAACAUAGUGUUUAGUGAAAUCUACAGUGCUCACUCAUGCUUUGUGGAGUCUGGGGGUGAAAGCUUGUAGAUAUCCAACAUUUGCAUAACACUAGAAAGUCCACUUUGCCCUCUCCGAGAAAAUCUAGUGAUCCUGCUGUUUAUAUCUGAUUCAGAUCCCUCAAUAAGAGUUCUCUUGGUCUCAUUUUCAUACUGAUCCUAAGAAGCAUUCACUAACUAGGCUGUACCUACCUAGUACAGCUCUGUCCAUAUGGUAGAUCUGCAAUAGAUUCUUGGGAUCUUAUGGUAAUUAGAUAGCACGCCUAUUCUGGAAUAGUGGC